RNAcentral lists this long non-coding RNA (287 nucleotides) under Capsella rubella. RNAcentral's name for it is "long non-coding RNA (CRUB_LNC003187)". Lineage: Eukaryota; Viridiplantae; Streptophyta; Magnoliopsida; Brassicales; Brassicaceae. The record is from RNAcentral.
UUUUUUUUAUAUACAGUAUGACGUGGCAAAUUACUUCAUUUUAAUUGGUUAAUCUAACCCAAGUAUUUUUCGUGAAUAUUAGGUAGUUCGAGCGGACAAAACGACCUAUGAACCAAACCGUUUUUUAUUGACGAUUCACUAAUGUAUUUGUAGUAGUGCAGUCUCAAGGAAAACAAAAGGAAACCAUAAUUGACAAAGUGCGGACUGUUUUUAUAUACAAAUAAAGUUUAUCCGUUACGGUUUGUUGUCCGUUCCAAAAUUAGAAUAGACUAACCCGCCAAUAGAUU